CUUAGAUCGACAAAAUCACCCUUCACUUCACUUCCAGACGAGGCAGACUGUACUGAGCUCCCAACCAUGACAGACAACAACCCAAACCCUAACCCUAACCCUAACCCUAACCCUCCACAAAACCUCCCACCUCCUCCUCCUCCUCCAAAUUCUAGGGUUGCAGGCGAAAGUGGUUCCAACAGAAGCAGCGCAUACGGUGGUCAGAAGCCCCAUUACCCUAACCCACCCGACGCAACGAACCCAGACGCUGCCACCCUCAGGGAGCAAUGGAGGUUCGCCAUCAAGCAGUACAGCCGAUGGUACUCCCAAGCCUGGGGCACCGCCAUACUCGCUGGUCUCUCUUUCUUCGCCCUCGGUUGGAUCAUCAAAGGCUCCAAUCCUCUCCCUUCCUUCGUCAAGCACGAAGACGAAACCAAACAACGAGAUCAACGGCAACAAGGCGGCCAUGAUGAUGAUCAUCAAUCUCCCAAAUCGUGAUCUCAAUUGUGGUUCACAAAAUCAGAAGCAUACGGAGUUUGAUCAAGAGUGCAGCCAUCACAUGCUGGGUUGUUGACAGCACUUGAUUCAAUAGUUAUUUGCCAAGGUGACCACUUGCUGAGAUACCCAGACGCAAAGAAGAGACACCAUAAAUAGCCGGGUCUCCAAGAACAAGCUUCCUUUGAAGGUGAGAACUUGGUUCAUGCACAAAGAGACGAGUUCUUGGUAUUACAGAUAUGAUUUCAAAGAGAACUUUGUUUUGAGGGCAGGGAGUAUGAGUGGAAGGCUGUUCCUUUUGGGCUAUGUUUUGUGGCAGAGUACAUGGCUCUACUCUUAUCUUCAGGGUCCCAACUGCCUCCAAUUUCACAGCUUUAACCAGAGUUGAGAAUUACUAUGAAAUAAUCAAGCGUAAAAGAACAACUAUUUUUCCAACAAGAAAUUAUUUUUUUCAUUCCACUGUUUGGAUUGAAAGGUGUUUGGGCUCAGGAGGUUUACUACCGGUCUUACAGAUUCUUUUAACAACUAUUUUUUCAAUUUAAUGGUGCUUGUUCGGUUUACUAUAGGUCUCAUUCAAAUUCCUUUACUCUGUGUUUUUCUAUGGUCUAUGGAUUUGAAGAGUGAUUUGAAAAGGAAAAGAUGGAUUUGAAGAGUGAUUUGGAAAGGAAAAUAAAAAAAGUGUGAGAAAUAUAGUUAUAUGUAAUUCACAUUUUAUUAAAUUCACAUUUGUUUUUUUUCUUUUCA
This is a non-coding RNA of Camellia sinensis, 1218 nucleotides long. NCBI's taxonomy places the organism in Eukaryota, Viridiplantae, Streptophyta, Magnoliopsida, Ericales, Theaceae. The record is from RefSeq and is a predicted model, not a curated record.